UGGGGAAUAUUGCGCAAUGGGCGAAAGCCUGACGCAGCGACGCCGCGUGGGGGAUGAAGCUUCUCGGAGUGUAAACCCCUUUCGACCCGGACGAAUGACCCGCAAGGGUUUGACGGUACGGGUAUAAGAAGCCCCGGCUAACUACGUGCCAGCAGCCGCGGCAAUACGUAGGGGGCCAGCGUUGCUCGGAAUUACUGGGCGUAAAGGGUUCGUAGGUGGUGCGGUAAGUUGGAAGUGAAAUCUCUGGGCUUAACCCAGAGGCUGCUUUCAAAACUGUCGCGCUCGAGUGCGAGAGAGGUCAGUGGAAUUGCAGGUGUAGCGGUGAAAUGCGUAGAUAUCUGCAGGAACACCCGUGGCGAAGGCGGCUGACUGGAUCGCAACUGACACUGAGGAACGAAAGCUAGGGGAGCAAACAGGAUUAGAUACCCUGGUAGUCCUAGCCCUAAACCAUCGGAACUUGGGGUGGCCCGCGUAGGCGGGUCGUCCCGUAGCUAACGCGUUAAGUUCCGCGCCUGGGGAGUACGGUCGCAAGACUG
RNAcentral lists this ribosomal RNA (536 nucleotides) under uncultured bacterium. RNAcentral's name for it is "bacterial SSU rRNA". It matches the Rfam family "Bacterial small subunit ribosomal RNA", at positions 355 to 896 of the family's 1533-position model. The record is from RNAcentral.